AAAUGGAUGGAGUGAAAAAAGAAGCAAGGAUCCCCAGGAGAGAUGCAAUUUUUGUGCUUGGGUUUUGCAGCUUGAGCGAAAUUACACGAUUUUCAAGGAUCACAGUUUCCACCUCAAUUUCUCUGGGAUAGAUUGACCUUCUUGGCCCCUUUAUAAGUCUCAUGGCUUUUCUGGAGCCAUUUCUUUACUUUUGUCACAAAGGAAUUAAGGUGCUAUAGUUGCAAUAUAUUCUUUUUAUCUUGGUUUGUUUCGCCUCUUAUGGAGGUCUUUUUAAGGAUGCCUAUAUUUUUUGAAAUAAAAAGUGUAAAAAAUGAUAAUCACAAGGUAUCAAGAAGGUACCAACCAUUUAUAAUAAGUUGACAAUUGUGUAAGAGUAUCUAUGACUACCAAAUUCCUCCAUUUUAUAGAUGUCAUGCUCCAAAAUCAAGGACUUCAAAAAUCCUAUUAUUUCUUUCUUUCCAUAAAACCCAAAAGAUAGUAAGUAGAAUAAGAUUUACAACUUGUCUUUUUUUGCAUAAAUCUUCCCAAGCCCAAAAUUCAUCCCUCACCGACCCUGCAAUAACCUAGUGAAUCCCUAGCAGUUCAAUUCAUACAUCAUUGGGCACCAUAAAAAAAUAUGACUAUAGGACUCAGCAACUUGCUCGCACAUGUAGCACCCAUUUACCAUUAUUUUACCUCUCUUCAUUAUCUUAUCAAUUGUCAACAUGCACUCAUGGCUCGCCUCCCAAGUGAAAAAAGCUACCAUUGGAGGUGCCUUAAGUUUCGAACUUUGAUGAGCCAGGAAGUUAGGAAUCCCAUCAUGCUCUCUGCCUACUAAGUACUUAUAAUAAAACUCGACAGUGAAUUCCCCAUCCUGUUUAAGCUUCCAUUCAAUAUGGCCCCUAUUUUCAUUGACAUGAACCAUGGAAAGGAGUUGCAGGAACGCUUCAAAUUCUUCAAUUUCCUAGUCAUUCAGGUUCCUGGUCACAUUCACUAUCCAUUCUCUACUACCAUUAUUAUUUUUUUUUUUUGAGAUAACAUUCUCUACUACCAUUAUUAUCUCUCUAUGCGUCUUCAAUUAGUAUGUUCUUGGA
Molecule: long non-coding RNA, 1073 nt
Filed under: Carica papaya (papaya)
Lineage: Eukaryota; Viridiplantae; Streptophyta; Magnoliopsida; Brassicales; Caricaceae
Description: long non-coding RNA (CPAP_LNC001034)
Source: RNAcentral